RNAcentral lists this unclassified non-coding RNA (526 nucleotides) under Hevea brasiliensis (rubber tree). The record is from RNAcentral. Lineage: Eukaryota; Viridiplantae; Streptophyta; Magnoliopsida; Malpighiales; Euphorbiaceae.
UGCUCUUGGUGGUUCUUAUUAUUUCUCCUAUUUGAUUUCUGCUACCCUUCCUCAUUUCUGGUUGCCUCACCCUUCUCUCUUUCUCUCUCUCUAAAACAGAUUCACUCCCUCCGCAAUAUUCAAUCUCUCUCUAUCUCCAAAUUUUACUAUCUAAUCAUUCUUGUCUUUUGUCUUGGCGUCCCCGAGCAUGUUCUUUUAAUGCCCAGCUUUGAAUUCUUCUCCUUUGUCUUGAAUUAUUUUUUUUUGUUGCAUCAUUGACUUUUUUUUUUCCUAUUUCAAUUGGUUUUUGCUUCAUUCUCCAUCCAUAAGGCUUGAUCUGAACAAGAAUUGUUGUGUUGGGCGCACCAGUGAAGAUUGGAAUUAGGAUCGAGAUUGUUGUUUGAUCAAUAUAAGGGUGAAUUUGGUUGAUUGAUUGCAUCACUGGGCUCUGACUUCCAAAGGAUUUAUCGGUUCUUCACCAAUCAGUUCUUACGGAUCCAUCUUCUGAGAAUAGUGGUUGCUAUUGUCUGGCUGGUCUGGAGUGCAU